RNAcentral lists this ribosomal RNA (432 nucleotides) under uncultured bacterium. RNAcentral's name for it is "partial 16S ribosomal RNA". It matches the Rfam family "Bacterial small subunit ribosomal RNA", at positions 29 to 506 of the family's 1533-position model. The record is from RNAcentral.
AACGAACGCUGGCGGCAUGCCUAACACAUGCAAGUCGAACGAGACCUUCGGGUCUAGUGGCGCACGGGUGCGUAACGCGUGGGAACCUGCCCUUAGGUUCGGAAUAACUCCCCGAAAGGGGUGCUAAUACCGGAUAAUGUCUUCGGACCAAAGAUUUAUCGCCUUUGGAUGGGCCCGCGUUGGAUUAGCUAGUUGGUAGGGUAAAAGCCUACCAAGGCGACGAUCCAUAGCUGGUCUGAGAGGAUGAUCAGCAACACUGGGACUGAGACACGGCCCGGACUCCUGCGGAAGGCAGCAGGGGGGAAUAUUGGACAAUGGGCGAAAGACUGAUCCAGCAAUGCCGCGUGAGUGAUGAAGGCCUUAGGGUUGUAAAGCUCUUUUACCCGGGAUGAUAAUGACAGUACCGGGAGAAUAAGCUCCGGCUAACUCCGU